RNAcentral lists this ribosomal RNA (438 nucleotides) under uncultured bacterium. RNAcentral describes it as "bacterial SSU rRNA". It matches the Rfam family "Bacterial small subunit ribosomal RNA", at positions 340 to 773 of the family's 1533-position model. The record is from RNAcentral.
UACGGGAGGCAGCAGUGGGGAAUAUUGCACAAUGGGCGCAAGCCUGAUGCAGCCAUGCCGCGUGUAUGAAAAAGGCCUUCGGGUUGUAAAGUACUUUCAGUCGUGAGGAAGGUGUUAAGGUUAAUAACCUUAGCAAUUGACGUUAGCGACAGAAGAAGCACCGGCUAACUCCGUGCCAGCAGCCGCGGUAAUACGGAGGGUGCGAGCGUUAAUCGGAAUUACUGGGCGUAAAGGGCACGCAGGCGGUUAAUUAAGUUGGAUGUGAAUCCCCGGGCUUAACCUGGGAAUGGCAUUCAAGACUGGUUAGCUAGAGUCUUGUAGAGGGGGUAGAAUUCCAUGUGUAGCGGUGAAAUGCGUAGAGAUGUGGAGGAAUACCGGUGGCGAAGGCGGCCCCUGGACAAAGACUGACGCUCAUGUGCGAAAGCGUGGGGAGCAAAC